Molecule: ribosomal RNA, 508 nt
Filed under: uncultured bacterium
Lineage: Bacteria
Description: bacterial SSU rRNA
Rfam family: Bacterial small subunit ribosomal RNA
Source: RNAcentral
AUUGAACGCUGGCGGUAGGCUUAACACAUGCAAGUCGAACGGUAGCAGCUCUAGCUUGCUAGAGGCUGACGAGUGGCGGACGGGUGAGUAACGCGUAGGAAUCUACCUAAUAGUAGGGGACAACCUGGUGAAAACCAGGCUAAUACCGCAUACGCCCUACGGGGAAAGGACGGGGGAGUCUUCGGACCUCGCGCUAUUAGAUGAGCCUGCGUUAGAUUAGCUAGUUGGUGGGGUAAAGGGACUCACCAAGGCGACGAUCUAUAGCUGGUCUGAGAGGAUGAUCAGCCACACUGGGACUGAGACACGGCCCAGACUCCUACGGGAGGCAGCAGUGGGGAAGUAUUGCGCAAUGGGCGAAAGACCUGACGCAGCCAUACCGCGUGUGUGAAGAAGGGUUUAGGCUCGUAAAGCACUUUAAGUAGGGAGGAAGGCCUAAAGUUUAAUACGCUUUAGGAUUGACGUUACCUACAGAAUAAGCACCGGCUAACUCCGUGCCAGCAGCCGCGGU